RNAcentral lists this ribosomal RNA (117 nucleotides) under Salvator merianae (Argentine black and white tegu). The record is from RNAcentral. Lineage: Eukaryota; Metazoa; Chordata; Lepidosauria; Squamata; Teiidae.
GGAGUCAAAGAUUCAAGCUGCUCUUUGCUGCUCUUGUCCGAUCCUGGAAACAAAGCUGGUUCAUGCCUUGUUAGGACUUGGAUGAGAGAUCAUUUAGGAAUACCAGGUUAGGCUGAG